GUGCUCAGUUUGGCAGCACAUACACUAAAAUUGGAAUGAAACAGAAGAUUAGCAUAGACUCCGUGCAAGGAUGACAUUCAAAUCCAUGAAGUAUUCCAUAUUUCC
This is a small nuclear RNA of Nycticebus coucang (slow loris), 105 nucleotides long. Lineage: Eukaryota; Metazoa; Chordata; Mammalia; Primates; Lorisidae. The record is from RefSeq and is a predicted model, not a curated record.